Molecule: long non-coding RNA, 401 nt
Filed under: Bos taurus (domestic cattle)
Lineage: Eukaryota; Metazoa; Chordata; Mammalia; Artiodactyla; Bovidae
Description: long non-coding RNA NONBTAT014220
Source: RNAcentral
GAUAGUAGGAAUUUUUAUUUAUAAAUAUAUUUCAACACAGAUAUAAUAAGACACCAAAGAUGUUUAUACAGUAAUUUCUUUUAUGCAAUACUUUAAUAAGGUUAUUUUGAUUUUAAGCAACAGAAAUCAAUCCUAGCUAACUUUUAAGCGAAAAGUCAAAGCAUUAGUCACUCUGUGCUAUGCUUAGUCGUUCAGUCACAUCUGACUCUUUGUGACCCCAUGGACUGUAGUCCACCAGGCUCCUCUGUCCGUGGAAUUCUUCAGGCAAGAAUACUGGAGUGGUUUCAAUAAUUUAAACAUGCCAAAAGUCUUCCAUUCUUGUUACAUCUAUUCUCCUAUUCCACAGACUUUUUUUUCUAGAGUAUUUAAACAAAUGCUAUCAUUAUAUUUCACAAGGAAAC